This 3724-nucleotide long non-coding RNA is filed under the name Triticum aestivum (bread wheat). RNAcentral describes it as "long non-coding RNA (TAES_LNC017439)". Lineage: Eukaryota; Viridiplantae; Streptophyta; Magnoliopsida; Poales; Poaceae. The record is from RNAcentral.
GAGAAAAUUGAUUCAGGCAAAAAGGUGUGGACAGCUCUCAAACAAUUUCAGGCAAGUGGGAAGCAUGAAGAGGUUAGUAUAUACACAUGUUCUGGUGUGCUCUGUCAUCAAAUAAUUUUCAUUGUGUGUUAAUCAUCUCAUAACAUAAGGAGUGUUUGCUUGAUGGGCAUUCAGACCAAAUGAUGAACGAAUUAGAUCCUAGGUUCUCCAAAAGAUGACAUUGUGUUUUGCUUCAAUUACCUGAUAAAUUUUCAGCCUUUGCAUCAAAAUGAUUUUAUGCAUUUGUUAUCACACUAACUUGUAUUUUUUUAAGCACAACCAUGCAUAUAUGUAAAAAAAACUCAUGGCCACUUGUGUGGUUGAUAGAAAUCAGUUAACAUCUCAAUUUCCUCAUGUGCUAUUGUAUGACUACGGAGGUUUUUUCUAACAUGCUCCCUCUUACCUCCCCUUUUCACAUGAGACGUAAGAGUAUAAAGUAAAUCUGAGUCAUUGAGUGCAUUAAGUAGUGGACUUGACUAAAUCUUACCUUCUUAACUCCCAUGUGAAAAGAUGGGGUAAGAGGAAGCAUGUUAAAAUGGCUCAUGAAUGUGGUGGUGCCGCCAGUGGCGGAGCUUGAGCAUAAUCCAAGAGGGCCAUUACUUGAAGGGGAGCAAAUUAGAUGGGAAGGAGGGGCAAAUAUCUAGUUUAAACACUAGUUAGGCUUAAAAUAUAGUAUAUUCAUUGAUGGGUGCAAAAAUUAAGGGGGGCCAUGGCCCCUAUUGGUCUACAUGAAGCUCCGCCACUUGUUGUUGCACAUUCUACCGUGUUGUUAUAGACACUGACUGAAUCUUGUUUUUGCACUAUAUCAAAAUGUACUAGCAGUCAUAAGACACCAAUCUGUCAGGAUCUCGGCUUUUGGCCUUCUGCUAGGAUGCACUAAAGAUAUUGAUAAGUCUCGCCAUUCCUGGAUGUUGUGAAGGUUACCUGACUGGAACAGAUUGUUCUGGAGAAGGAUAUGGCGGCGUGGCAAACCUAAAGUAGCAAUGAUGCAACAAAUGGAAUGUGAUCGAUAAUGGUAUUCUCUAUGGGUGCACACCAGAGAGCAUACAAAUUAGGGUCUGCAUGGACGACCAAAACACGUGGCAUUUUUUUAUCAACAUACCAAUAGGGUCUGCAUGGACGACCAAAACACAUGGCAUUUUUUUAUCAACUAUCCCAUCCUUUUUCCUUUGAUCUACUAACAUUGGUUUCAAGUUAUUGUAGAAGUUUCUUGUAGUGACUGGUUAAAAUAAUUCACACAUGUUCGGCUAUUCAUGCUAUGUUUUACAAUCUGUUCCGAUGAUGAAUAUCCAUUUUUCCAAAAAUAGUGCAUCUACCUCUGACUCUUUCGCAUUAAACUAUACAAUUGAAUUCGCUGAAGAAGGGAAAACCUCCCACUUUCAACCAAUAUGAGUUUGAUCUAAACCAGAUCAUACUACGGGCUGGGUCGGGUUUGGGUCGGGCUUCACAAAGCCUGGAGUCAACAAUCCAAGCCCAAGCCCGGCUUGGCCCGGCUAAAAGCACAUCGACAAUGGCUUCUCAAUUUAACUAAUUAUAUUUGGGAUAUUAAAAUGAUAUUAUAUACCUAUAUUUUGAAUAAAAUAUACAUUUGUUGCCAUUUCGGGCUUUUGGGCCGCGCUUCGGGCGAGAAAUUGAAGCCCAAGCCUACCCCAGAUGUCGGGCUUUGGGCUCGGGCCUCUUGGCCGGGUAGUCCAUGAACAGUUUUAGUUUGAUCUAUUCACUCACAUUUUGAUCCUCGUUCAUUAUAUCAUUUAACCAUAAUUCAUAUGAACAUGCACCACGUGAAUAUAAUAAAGAAAAUGGGACAAUUUGUAGUAUACAACGCCUUAUGGUGCGAUAUCACAGGAACAUUUUUCUCCUUGAUUACAGUGUCAAAUCAUAUAUUAUAUGACAAAUUAAGUAUAUUGUUUUGCUUAUUUCAGUAUUACCUUCAUAAGGAAUAUAGUCACAAAUUUUGCUCCAAACGCAACGUUAUUGAGUUCAUACGAAAUGGAACUGUGAAAGGGAAGCCAGUUCAGAAGGUGCCUAAAUACUUGACUUUCAAACAUAUAGUAAUUAUGCGAAGAUGUAUAUGUUUUUUGUAUUAACUUUAAAGUAUUAAUUUGACACGGUAUCCUAUUUUUGCACAGAGAUCAUCUGAUACUUCUACGAACAAUCUUCAGGGUAUGUCCAGUUGGCCAUGCAUUUGGAUAUUAUUUUGUCUACUAUUAUUACUAUAGAGAGAAAUCUAACUGAAACUGAAAUAUAAUAAAUAUUCAUGGAGAGAAAAAUAGACAUUAAUGUCCACAUACACAACACAAUUAGCCAGUACUAUCCUAGUUUACAUGAAUUAAUAUUUGCAAUGACAUUUAGGUUACUCAUGACAUGAUAAAGAAAAAGUUUUUUUUGCGAGGUAAGAUAAGGUUUUAUAUAACUGUUCAUGGGGACCUCCUCAUGGUUGCAGAUACAUAGUUUUACAGUGCUUCAUGAAAUAGUUGCAUAUCAUCAUGUCUAAAAGAAGAAUCAUGACGGACACAACUUCAAGAAUUCUUCUUGUAAAAUAACAUAAUUUGUAUAUACCUCAUAGAGGAUGUAACUUGUUGGUAGCAUUUAAUAUUGUGACAUACUCGCCAUCUUUUGUGCCAGCAUUAUUUGGGUGAUGAUUUAAUAUCCAAAAGCAUACAUCAAGGUAGUUAUGUGUAAUGAUAUUCUUGUGAAAGUAACUCUCAUAGUGUAUACUUGCAUAUAUGUAUUGUUCUAUUGUAUUCUCACAGUUAAUCCUUUUUCUUGAUGUUUUGUUUGUUUAUUUAUGUUUAGAGCAAGAUUAUAAAUUAAGCUGAGCAUAAUUUCUGCAGAUUAUAGAUGGCCCACUAAAAGACAAAGGACGAAGGCGCAAACUUCAAGUAAUUCUUCUUGCCACAUAGGUUUUCCUUAUUGUGCGAGGAUACCACUUGUAACUGCCUUCAGUCAUCUAUGUCAGUAGUAUUUUGAGAAGAAUUUCCUUACAAAAUGCAACGACUCAAACAAUCAGAUUUUUCAUGAUGAUUCCUAAUUGUAUAACCAAUAAGCUUAACACACCUUCCUAUUUUAGAGUUGUUAUCUUAAUAAAUAUAUACUAUCUAUUAUUAAUGUUGUUGUUGGGUGAAGAACAUUUGUUGCUCAUGGUUAGAAUGUAGAAUUUUAUUAACACAACAACCUAGAGCGAAUGUGGAGGCCAAUAUAGAUUGAAACCAUUAAUUCAUAUUAAAAUGGUCAUGAUUUCUUAUUUUUAUUUGACAUAGAUGUUUGUGACUUGUUUGAAUUAAUGUGUUCUUCCAUUAUUUGAUAUUUCUAUAUUCAUACUAUUUUUAUGAAAUGUGCAGCUAGUUUGUCAACCGGGGCACGAACAACCACAACUUCUACAAAGCUUCCACAUGGUUUCAUCUAGUAUCAUGCGGAAGACAUUGAGACAAUCAAGAUUACUUGAGCAACCUGAAUUAUGUUAGUUGUUACCUGCUUUCAAACGAAUGUGUCCUCUCAUAGUAUGUAUGUACUUCUGUUGUUGAGGAAUUUAUAUCAUUAGACAGUUCUAUUUUUAAUAAUUAUUGAUUAAUGGGUACAUACCUUCAAUCCUAGAAGACUGCCAGAUAGCCAGUCAAGGAAGCGAUUUGUUAUUGAACAGUGCAUAAUAGGGACAUUUUUACAUUCAAAGGAACAUCGUAGGAAU